GGUGCUUGCUUCAGUAGCACCAUAUACUAAAAUUGGAAUGAUACAGAGAAGGUUAGCAUGGCCCCUGCGCAAGGAUGACAUGCAAAUUUGUGAAGCAUUCCACAUUUUU
Non-coding RNA from Otolemur garnettii (small-eared galago), 109 nucleotides. NCBI's taxonomy places the organism in Eukaryota, Metazoa, Chordata, Mammalia, Primates, Galagidae. The record is from Rfam.